CCUCACCCUCAUUGAUAAUGGUCUUCACAAUGGAGUGGAGUUCUGCCCUACAAGGUUCUGCUCUUUCUGGAAUCCAAGUGUCAUCAGCAGGCUCCUAAAAAGUGACAUUGGACACCAGAAGAUAACAUGCCGGAGAGAUGGUGGAGAAGGACUUCACCAGCUGGUGUUGGCCUGGAAUAUGAGGAAGAGUCAGGAGCCAAGCAAAGUGGGCAGCCUGUAGAAGACAAGAAAGGCAAGAGACUAUCCAUGAACCAGGGAAGGAUUCCUUGUCUUGAAGUUGUGCAAUGUGCAACUUUCACAACAGCAAGCGGUGGCCCAGAUUCAAGACCACAAAAUGAGCUGCUGGAACAUCUGGGAAGAGGACCUCCUGCUUGCCAGGUAGUUCACAGACCAGGGUUUGUCACGGCAGCACUUCAUGGAAAACAGAAAACAUAAAGCCUUUGUAUGUCAGGGGCUGAGAAGGAAAAUAACUAUUCCACUGGAGAAGCCCUCAGGUCUGGAAGGAGGUUGGGCCAUUGUGAUUCCAUCAAGGCGCCAAAGCUGUGCCUGGAGGAAGUGAGAGCGUGCAGGAAGCCAGUCUGGAAGGAUUGGGUUCCUAAAGCCAUAGCUCAUUGAGGCUGGUGAUGAAUGGGGACCCAAGCUAUGGAGGACAGAGCAACAUGGAAGCCUGCAGAGAGAACCUGAUGAGCAAAGAGCAGCUCUCUUUGGAAGGACCCCACCUGCUUCUGCAUGGAUUAGCAGAAACCAGAUCAGACUGGGAGAGUAAUGGCUGUCUGUUCCUCCUCCCUUGUGAAAGAGCUCCAGGACCCCUAGAUAAUUUAGGAGGACAAGAAGGUGCACGCUUGUGAUCUGGAAUUCCCGCCUGCAGGUGGAGGCUUGAACAGGAUCUGAUUUGAUCUGGAAACUGAAACAGUUCUUGCCUGCUGUGAUAGUUUUCUCAUCCAUUUCUUCACCGCAGAGCGACUCCUUCCAAAACGGGGCCCAGGUUUGUGGCUGCUUUGUAUUGCCGUGACCUGGCGGUGGAUCUGGUAUACUGGCUGUUCUUAGUAAACAUUGUCAGACAGUGCCAAUAGGGGAAGGCACAGAGGGUUUGUGAAGCCAGAAAGUGGCAGAGGAGAACAACGUCUGAGCUCCAAAGAGAACUCUUCCUCCACCCACCAAAAGCAGACUCCUCAGAUCAUCUGCUCCAAACAGCUUUUUAAGGAUAUAAACUGGGGGAGGCUGUUGAUUGAACACAGAUAAUUAUUCUGCAACACCCCAGUAUGCACACAUCACAAACCUUGGAAAAUCAUGAGUCCCCAAACUUCUAACUCAAGUUUCACACUCACCUAUGGAAUAACCUAUGCACUUGUGGAUAAUGGUUGAGUGGGAAACAAAUUAGUUAUCUUCUCAAGAAGUUGCACACAGUGAAGCUACAACUUAUAUUUAUGUCCAUCAUAUAAUCCAUCUUGGACUCAUUGAUUUUUCCCUAGAGUAUAUGUUUUACUAUUAAAACACGUUGUAGAUGUGAGUUCAUAAAGAAAAAAGAAAAUAAUGUAUUUCUAAAAUUUAAGAGGGGUCUAUUGAAUAUUUAACAAUUUAAAAAGAGGUUUUUUUUUAUUUAAUUGCCAGCCAGGCAUAAUGGCAUAGUCUUUUAGU
Myodes glareolus (Bank vole) is the source of this 1638-nucleotide non-coding RNA. Lineage: Eukaryota; Metazoa; Chordata; Mammalia; Rodentia; Cricetidae. The record is from RefSeq and is a predicted model, not a curated record.